AUCAUAAUCAAUCAAAUGUUAACCACAGCUUUUAGUAAUGCUUAAAAAGGUAAAUUUCAGCAACUGAUUCUCCGCUAGUCAGUUAAGUUUAUAUUAAAAUAUUAUUUGAUUUACUUUUUUUAAUAUAAUUUUGUAUCAAAAUUUUUUUAUCCUUAAGAAAAUGAAAGAAUUCAUACAUAUGAUAAAUUAUAAUAUUUUACUUGUAUAACACUAGAGGGAAGGAGAUAAACCUCUUUGUCCAGACAUUGUUCCUCUGGUUGUCCAAUGCUUUGAAGUUUCAGCAGUAGACAUUCCAUUAAUUGACUGCUUGCACUCUGAUCCAAUUUAUUGCAUUUGCUAAGAUCCAUCAUCAGACAGGAAUUCAUAUAUCCUUGUAU
This 377-nucleotide unclassified non-coding RNA is filed under the name Hevea brasiliensis (rubber tree). The record is from RNAcentral. Lineage: Eukaryota; Viridiplantae; Streptophyta; Magnoliopsida; Malpighiales; Euphorbiaceae.